AUUAAUAGUAAUGUAUUAUUAGUUAAUGUACUAGAGUUCAGCUGCUAUACUAUCAAUAGCACCAAGCACUUGAUACUACCAAAUUUCCGCCGUUAAAUCUGUCCCUUUGACUAUUUCCACCUGUUGGACAUACUAUUCAACCAACCACCCACUCGACCUUAGGGGACCACUAUCAUCCUAACCACACAUCCCUUCAUUCAAGGGUCAAAAACCUAAUAACACCAAUGUCACGCCCCGUAUGAUAGCAGAAGCUAGGGUUACGUCGGUAAAUAAGCCGCAUGUACAAGAAUAUACCUUAUACAUAUGAAGUAUCAAUAAAACUUGUCGAAAGAAGUUACUAAAGUCCAACAAAUAUAGGUAUCAGAGUAGAAUAAAAACUAAGAUAAACUUCAAAUACCCCCCUUGUGGUUUCACACUUUCUCCUUGUGGUUUAAAGUGUAUCAAGUUAGUCCUUAUGGUUUCGUACUUUCUCACUUUAGUACCUUGUGAUUUAAAAUGUAUCAAGUUAGUACCCUGUGGUUUCAUUUUUCUUUUUUUAUUAUCCAUUUCACUAAUUUUGUUCGUUAAAUCAGUGGCAAAGUUAAAAUUAAAGGGUACUAAAGUGAAUAUUCGAUAAACCUAGGUAGGGUAUCUGAAGUUUUUUUUGCAUAUAAUUUAAUAAAAUAUUAACGGAGGAAAAAAAAAUCAGUGACAAAGUUAAAACUAAAGGAUACUAAAGUAAAUAUUCGAUAAACCUAGAUAGGAUAUCUGAAGUUUUUUGUAUAUAAUUUAACGAAAUAUUAACAGAAGAGCCGACGAAAAGAAAAAAAGAAACCAUAGGGUAUUAAAUUGAUACACUUUAAACCACAGGGUACUAAAAUGAGAAAGUACGAAACUAUAGGAUACUAAAUUAAUACACUUUAAACCACAGGGUACUAAAGUAAAAAAGUACGAAACCACAUGGGUGGUAUUUAAAGUUUUUCCUAAAAACUAUAUAUUAAAACAACACUAUAGAUAUGCAAUCAUCACUACGUCAAUCCAUAAAAU
RNAcentral lists this long non-coding RNA (1026 nucleotides) under Ananas comosus (pineapple). RNAcentral describes it as "long non-coding RNA (ACOM_LNC023180)". The record is from RNAcentral. Lineage: Eukaryota; Viridiplantae; Streptophyta; Magnoliopsida; Poales; Bromeliaceae.